GACGAACGCUGGCGGCGUGCUUAACACAUGCAAGUCGAACGGAAAGGCCCUGCUUUUGUGGGGUGCUCGAGUGGCGAACGGGUGAGUAACACGUGAGUAACCUGCCCUUGACUUUGGGAUAACUUCAGGAAACUGGGGCUAAUACCGGAUAGGAGCUCCUGCUGCAUGGUGGGGGUUGGAAAGUUUCGGCGGUUGGGGAUGGACUCGCGGCUUAUCAGCUUGUUGGUGGGGUAGUGGCUUACCAAGGCUUUGACGGGUAGCCGGCCUGAGAGGGUGACCGGCCUCAUUGGGACUGAGAUACGGCCCAGACUCCUACGGGAGGGAGCAGUGGGGAAUAUUGCCCCAUGGGCGGAAGCCUUAUGCAGCAACGCCGCGUGCGGGAUGACGGCCUUCGGGUUGUAAACCGCUUUCGCCUGUGACGAAGCGUGAGUGACGGUAAUGUGUAAAGAAGCACCGGCUAACUACGUG
RNAcentral lists this ribosomal RNA (468 nucleotides) under uncultured bacterium. Its description in RNAcentral is "partial 16S ribosomal RNA". It matches the Rfam family "Bacterial small subunit ribosomal RNA", at positions 28 to 507 of the family's 1533-position model. The record is from RNAcentral.